AGUAGGCAAUGGCGGAAGCGGCGCCAUUCUUUGAAACGAAGAAACGAAGGAAGAUGAAGAAGACGUCAGAAGAAAGAAAGAGACGAAGAAGAGAUUUCGUUAGGAGAGACAAAAAGAAUGAGAAGCUCGGGGAAGAAGAAAAGGCCGUCAUAUCGAACUGUCGCAUCGAAGCAAGUUUCGAGGUCGGCUAUAAUGAUGAAUAGACAACGAAGCAAGUUUCGAGGUCGGCUAUAAUGAUGAAUAGA
This 245-nucleotide long non-coding RNA is filed under the name Ananas comosus (pineapple). Its description in RNAcentral is "long non-coding RNA (ACOM_LNC016804)". The record is from RNAcentral. Lineage: Eukaryota; Viridiplantae; Streptophyta; Magnoliopsida; Poales; Bromeliaceae.